This 288-nucleotide ribosomal RNA is filed under the name Pseudomonas aeruginosa. RNAcentral's name for it is "partial 23S ribosomal RNA". It matches the Rfam family "Bacterial large subunit ribosomal RNA", at positions 1055 to 1344 of the family's 2925-position model. The record is from RNAcentral. Lineage: Bacteria; Pseudomonadati; Pseudomonadota; Gammaproteobacteria; Pseudomonadales; Pseudomonadaceae.
GUGGUUAAGUGGUAAACGAUGUGGGAAGGCUUAGACAGCUAGGAGGUUGGCUUAGAAGCAGCCAUCCUUUAAAGAAAGCGUAAUAGCUCACUAGUCGAGUCGGCCUGCGCGGAAGAUGUAACGGUGCUCAAACCACACACCGAAGCUGCGGGUGUCACGUAAGUGACUCGGUAGAGGAGCGUUCUGUAAGCCUGUGAAGGUGAGUUGAGAAGCUUGCUGGAGGUAUCAGAAGUGCGAAUGCUGACAUGAGUAACGACAAUGGGUGUGAAAAACACCCACGCCGAAAGA